This 1953-nucleotide ribosomal RNA is filed under the name human gut metagenome. RNAcentral's name for it is "bacterial LSU rRNA". It matches the Rfam family "Bacterial large subunit ribosomal RNA", at positions 1 to 1983 of the family's 2925-position model. The record is from RNAcentral.
UUAUGCUGAUAAGAGCGUAUGGUGGAUGCCUUGGCACUAAGAGCCGAUGAAAGACGUGAUAAGCUGCGAAAAGCUUCGGGGAGGGGCAAAUACCCAUUGAUCCGGAGAUUUCUGAAUGGGGAAACCUACCUGAGCAAACCUCAGGUAUCCUGACGCCAAUCCAUAACGUCAGGAAGGGAACCCGGUGAACUGAAACAUCUAAGUAGCCGGAGGAAGAGAAAACAACAUGUGAUUCUGUGAGUAGCGGCGAGCGAAAACGGAAGAGCCCAAACCAGUGUGCGUGCAUGCUGGGGUUCGGACCGCGGAAUUGAUUCAACAAGUUUAGCAGAACGGUUUUGGGAAAGCCGGCCAGAGAGGGUGAAAGCCCCGUAAGCGAAAGAUGAGUUGACAUGGCGGUAUCCAGAGUAGGUCGAGACACGUGGAACCUUGACUGAAUAUGCGGGGACCACCCCGUAAGGCUAAAUACUCCUUAGUGACCGAUAGCGCAUAGUACUGUGAAGGAAAGGUGAAAAGGACCCCGGGAGGGGAGUGAAAAAGAACCUGAAACCAUAUGUUUACAAGCUGUGGAAGAGCUUUAUAUGCUCAACCGCGUACUUUUUGUAGAACGGUCCGGCGAGUUACGCUGGCUGGCGAGGUUAAGCACUGAAGGUGUGGAGCCGAAGGGAAACCAAGUCUGAAUAGGGCGAAGAGUCAGUCGGAGUAGACCCGAAACCGGGUGAUCUAUCCAUGUCCAGGUUGAAGUUGCCGUAAAAGGCAAUGGAGGACCGAACCCACAUCCGUUGAAAAGGGUGGGGAUGAGGUGUGGAUAGGGGAGAAAUUCCAAUCGAACCCGGAGAUAGCUGGUUCUCCUCGAAAUAGCUUUAGGGCUAGCCUCAUAUUAGUCUUGUGGAGGUAGAGCACUGAAUUUCCGCGGGGGCGUCAAAGCUUACCAAAGAAUAUCAAACUCCGAAUGCCAUAAAGAUGAUGUAUGGGAGUCAGACUAUACGAGAUAAGUUGGAUAGUCAAAAGGGAAAGAGCCCAGACCACCAGUUAAGGUCCCAAAGUAUGUGUUAAGUGGAAAAGGAUGUGGGAUUUCAUAGACAACUAGGAUGUUGGCUCAGAAGCAGCCAUACAUUCAAAGAGUGCGUAACAGCUCACUAGUCGAGAGGUCCUGCGCCGAAAAUGUCCGGGGCUAAAACACAACACCGAAGCUGUGGAUUUAUACACAAGUAUAAGUGGUAGAGGAGCAUUCUUAAUACCGACGAAGCUGUACCGAAAGGAGCAGUGGAGGGAUAAGAAGAGAGAAUGCCGGAAUGAGUAGCGAGAGUAAGGUGAGAAUCCUUACGGCCGAAUAUCUAAGGUUUCCAGCGUAAAGCUGAUCUGCGCUGGGUAAGUCGGGGCCUAAGGCGAGGUCGAAAGACGUAGUCGAUGGAUAACAGGUUGAGAUUCCUGUACCGCAUGGUAACAGAACUGUGGGGACGCAUGGACAAAGCUCGAGCCGGGAAUGGAAAGACCGGUACAAGCGAAGGAGGAGUACGGUUGGCAAAUCCGCCGUAUAAUCCAAGAGCGUGAUGUGGAGUGAACUAGAAGUAACGAAGCGAGUAGAGUCUGUGCCGAGAAAAGCCGCUAUUGUUUGCCAUGUGCCCGUACCGUAAACCGACACAGGUGGAUGAGGAGAGAAUCCUAAGGCCGACGGAAGAAGCAUUGUUAAGGAAUUCGGCAAAAUGACCCCGUAACUUCGGGAGAAGGGGUGCCUGAGAAAUCAGGCCGCAGAGAAUAGGCUCAAGCAACUGUUUAGCAAAAACACAGGUCUAUGCGAAACCGUAAGGUGAUGUAUAUGGGCUGACGCCUGCCCGGUGCUGGAAGGUUAAGAGGAGAGGUUAGAGCAAUCGAAGCUUUGAAUUGAAGCCCCAGUAAACGGCGGCCGUAACUAUAACGGUCCUAAGGUAGCGAAAUUCCUUGUCGGGUAAGUUC